Gasterosteus aculeatus (three-spined stickleback) is the source of this 1707-nucleotide long non-coding RNA. Lineage: Eukaryota; Metazoa; Chordata; Actinopteri; Perciformes; Gasterosteidae. The record is from Ensembl.
AUGUCUGAGAGUCUUUGGCCCCCCCCCCGCCCCCCUCCUGUGUCUCGUGCAGCUGUUGGUGGGAGUGAAGAUGUGGUGAAGAAGGAAGAAGCUCAGAAGGAUGAGAUCUCAUGGCCCUGGAACAAGAACAAGGAUAAGGAGGGCAGCAAGGGAAAGUCCGGCAAAGACGACAAAAAGCACGAGUCCGGCAAAUCCGACAAAAAGCACAAGUCAAAGGACGGGGAACACAAGAAGAAAAGGGACAAAGGUGAAGGAAACCAAUCUGGCUCUUCCUCAUCGUCGUCCUCCAGCAGUGACGAGGAGUGAUGCUUCCAGCGCCGAUGGUCUCUUCUAACCUCGUCUGUGAAGCAAAGUGACUGUGUGCAGUUGUACCGACGGUCCUUCCUCUUGUUGAUGUAUAAAUAAACCUGAUUGAACGCUGCUUCUCGCCAUAAACUUCCUGUGUUGCUUAAAGUGUGUUUAUUCCACCACAGCGGCGUGAAAAACCCUCACCAAGGUCGCUGUUUGUCGCUGCACGCGUUUAUAAUUGUCCGGAUCGUGUUGAGAUAACCCCCCAAAAAAAUGAGUAGUCUGUCUUUAGAAAAUGUACAUGAAUAAAUCAGUUAAAAAAAAUAAUUGGAAAGCUACAAAACUUCAGAACAGUCGUCAUGCUGCGGACGACGUUUCAUCUCCACCUGUAGGCGUGUGUUCUGAGAAACUCCUCAUCCUGCUCCACGAAACGUUUGUCUGUUAAAAGGAACAGGAUGCUGCUGUCAGGCCCGACGGCAUUUUGCCCUCAAGAGAAAAUAAUUAAAGUUGACAUGUUUUUGUUCCAAAGCAAACAUGUUGUAUAAUGUGAAUGUUCAGUCCCAGCCUUCUCCAGGGUGGAGUAGGAGUAGCAUUCUACCCCUCAUAACCGUAACACUACACUGGGUGAACGCUCAAGGGGAGCGGCGGUUUGGGGGGCGGGGUUAGGCUUGAAUCACAUGCUUGAGGUGUGGCUAAUCCAGGUACUUAAGUUUGAGUCCGUGUGGUCACUGUGGUUUGUGAACAGGAGACACGAUGGAUCGCGCAGGUAAGCUCAAUUUGACUGAACGUACUUAAGAUCAACACCUUGAAUAUGUGUCUCUGUUGACUAAAGUAACACGUUUUACGCCUGGUAAAUCGUCACAGGCCGCAGGCAUUUAAAAGCCGUUACUCCCAUUUCAUUACUCGCCAAAGGGGCUUUGGAAUAUAUUUUUAAAUGUAAAUUCAUGUGUCAGAAAGUUGUUUCUUAUUUGCAGCCGUUCUCUUUUAUUCUAACCCGGUUUCCCUUUUCAUUCUGACCCGAACAGGUAAAAAGGACAAGGUGAGAGAUUUGCAUGUUUGCUUCAUUAUCUGAGUGAUUAGUGAUUCUGUGACGUCACAAAGUUGCUUCUCUUUGAACGUCCUACCGCUGCAUUAUUACGACCAGUGCACUCGAUCCUCUAUCGCUGUGACAACGGCGACACGAUCAAUGAUCCGGUCCACUUUUGCACCCCCUUAGGGAGAGUCCAAGGGGAAGAAGGACGACAAAGCGUCCAAGGAGAAGGGCGGCAAAGACAAAAAGAAGGACGAGGAGAAGAAGAAGAAGAAGGCGAAGCCUGAAGGGAAAGGCUCCGGCUCCUCAUCUUCAGACUCUGACGAGGUAACACACCCCAACCCCCCCAAACCUGAUUUCAAAGGGUGGCAGUAAAGUGUGUCACAACA